This 615-nucleotide ribosomal RNA is filed under the name Rhizopus sp. BAB-4489. RNAcentral's name for it is "eukaryotic LSU rRNA". The stretch from base 211 to 364 matches the Rfam family "5.8S ribosomal RNA". The record is from RNAcentral. Lineage: Eukaryota; Fungi; Mucoromycota; Mucoromycetes; Mucorales; Rhizopodaceae.
CUGCGGAAGGAUCAUUAAUUAUGUUAAAGCGCCUUACCUUAGGGUUUCCUCUGGGGUAAGUGAUUGCUUCUACACUGUGAAAAUUUGGCUGAGAGACUCAGACUGGUCAUGGGUAGACCUAUCUGGGGUUUGAUCGAUGCCACUCCUGGUUUCAGGAGCACCCUUCAUAAUAAACCUAGAAAUUCAGUAUUAUAAAGUUUAAUAAAAAACAACUUUUAACAAUGGAUCUCUUGGUUCUCGCAUCGAUGAAGAACGUAGCAAAGUGCGAUAACUAGUGUGAAUUGCAUAUUCAGUGAAUCAUCGAGUCUUUGAACGCAGCUUGCACUCUAUGGUUUUUCUAUAGAGUACGCCUGCUUCAGUAUCAUCACAAACCCACACAUAACAUUUGUUUAUGUGGUAAUGGGUCGCAUCGCUGUUUUAUUACAGUGAGCACCUAAAAUGUGUGUGAUUUUCUGUCUGGCUUGCUAGGCAGGAAUAUUACGCUGGUCUCAGGAUCUUUUUCUUUGGUUCGCCCAGGAAGUAAAGUACAAGAGUAUAAUCCAGCAACUUUCAAACUAUGAUCUGAAGUCAGGUGGGAUUACCCGCUGAACUUAAGCAUAUCAAUAAGCGGAGGAA